AGGCUUAUUCUCAGCUGAUGAGACCAAACACCGGUUUGAAGGCCUUAGUGUGUGGUUGCACCUACAAACUCUUCCUAUGGCCAGCCUGGGAUGAAAAGGGAUGCUCUAAGGGUGUGGAGAGGGAGACAACGUCUCAAUAUAAAGAAGCAGGACCAGGAUGAAGCAAUCAGCAUUCCUUCACAGUAGCUAAUCUGGGCAGGCAUCAAUUCAUAGGACUAGUCAUAAGAAUAUUCCUAAUUUUAUUCAUAGCUUAUAGCCAUAGAAAUAUGUUUUAAAUGGACAGAUGGAAUGAAAUAAUUUUGUGUUGAUCAAAUAAUUGUUGAAAAUUAUCUAUCAAUUACACAAAAUAUACAUGGUAUGCUGCAAGUAUCCAUUUUAUUCAUAUAUCAGAAUAGUUAAUAGUAAAACUUGACAUCGCUUGCUUCAUUUAUAAAACGAUGAACUGAAAGACCAAAAUCUGCGACUUGUUAAUAAGAAAUAAAAAGUCACAAUUUAUACUUCACCUUAGUCAAAAGGCCAAGAAGUGAUUCACAUACAAUUCCAAGGAGUAAGAAAUGUAAAAAUAAUUGCAUGAACUGUACUUUGAAUCCAUACAGAGGAAUCAUUUCUGAGGAAACAGUUAAAGUUAAUUUGGCAAAGAACAGGGCUCACUGUUAGAAAACAAAAAACCCUUUAAAUAAUCUGUUCAGUAUUUCAUCUUUACCCAUACUUUAUAUAACAUGAAGGAAAAAUUAAGUAAGUUUUGAU
Molecule: long non-coding RNA, 747 nt
Filed under: Homo sapiens (human)
Lineage: Eukaryota; Metazoa; Chordata; Mammalia; Primates; Hominidae
Description: non-protein coding lnc-ARHGAP15-20:1
Source: RNAcentral